RNAcentral lists this ribosomal RNA (236 nucleotides) under uncultured bacterium. RNAcentral describes it as "partial 16S ribosomal RNA". It matches the Rfam family "Bacterial small subunit ribosomal RNA", at positions 99 to 334 of the family's 1533-position model. The record is from RNAcentral.
CGAACGGGUGAGUAACGCGUGAGGAACCUGCCUCAAAGAGGGGACAACAGUUGGAAACGACUGCUAAUACCGCAUAAGCCCACGGCUCGGCAUCGAGCAGAGGGAAAAGGAGCAAUCCGCUUUGAGAUGGCCUCGCGUCCGAUUAGCUAGUUGGUGAGGUAACGGCCCACCAAGGCGACGAUCGGUAGCCGGACUGAGAGGUUGAACGGCCACAUUGGGACUGAGACACGGCCCAG